AUCACAAUCCCAAAUCUACAAUAUUUAUCUACAAAAUGAUAACUUUCCAAAUAUAGCAGUUUUUAAAAAAUUACCAUAAAGAUAUAACGUAUUGAUCAAAAAUUCUAAAAGCAUGCUCAUUUAUCAACAAAAACUCUUGUUAUCAUAAAUUCUAAAUCACAAUCUCAAAUCUACAAUAUUUCCCUACAAAAUGAUAACUUUCUAAAAAUAGUAGGUUUUGAUAACUUUCUAAAAAUAGCAGGUUUUGAAAAAAAUAUUUAAAAAUUAUAACCUAUAGAUCAAAAAUUCUCAAAGCAUACCCUUCUAUCAAUAAAAACUCUUGUUUUCCAAAUUUUUAAAUCACAAUUUCAAAUCCACAAUAUUUAUCUACAAAAUGAUAACAUUCCAAAUAUAGCAGUUUUUUUAAAAAAAAUUUAAAAAUAUAGUAUAUCUAUCAACAAAAACUCUUGUUACCCUAGUUUCUAAAUCACAUUCUCAAAUCUACAAUAUUUCUUUACAAAAUUAUAAUUUUCUAAAAAUAAAGGUUUUAGAAAUUUAUUUAAAAAUUGUAAUCUAUUGAUCAAAAAUUCUAAAACCAUACCCAUCUAUAACCAAAAACUCUUGUUACCCAGAUUUCUAAAUCACAAUCCAAAAUCUACAAUAUUUCUCUACAAAAUUAUAAUUUUCCAAAAAUAGAAAAUUUUGGAAAAUUUGUUUAAAAAUUAUAACCUACUGAUCAAAAAUUCUAAACGCAUACUCAUAUAUCAACAAAAACUUUUGUUAUCCUAAUUUCCAAAUCAAAAUCCCAAAUAUACAAUAUCUCUCUACAUAAUUAUAAUUUUCCAAAAAUAGCGAGUUUUGGAAAAUUUAUUUAAAAAUUAAAACCUAUUGAUCAAAAAUUCUAAAACCAUACCCAUCUAUCAACAAAAAUUCUUGUUAUCCUAAUUUCUAAAUCACAAUCCUGAAUAUUCAAUAUUUCUCUACAAAAUGAUAAUUUUCCAAAAAUAGCAGUUCUUUGAAAUUUUAUUUUUAAAAUAUAACCUAAUAAUCAAAAAUUCUAAAUCUACGAUAUUUAUCAACAAAAUUACAAUUUUCCAAAAAUAGUAGGUUUUGGAAAAUUUAUUUUAAAAUUAUAACAUAUUGAUCAAAAAUUCCAAAAACAUGCCCAUCUAUCAACAAUAAUUCUUUUUAUUUUAUUUCUAAAUCACAACCCCCAAAUCUACAAUAUUUAUCUACAAAAUGAUAACUUUCCAAAUGUAGAAGUUUUUAAAAAAAAAUUCUUAAAGAUAUAACGUAUUGAUCAAAAAUUCUAAAAGCACGCCCAUUUAUCAACAAAAAAUUUUGUUAUCCAAAUUUCAAAAUCACAAUCUCAAAUCUACAAUAUUUACCUACAAAAUGAUAAUUUUCUAAAAAUAGCAGGUUUUGGAAAAAUUAUUUAAAAAUUAUAACAUGUAGAUCAAAAAUUC
This 1445-nucleotide long non-coding RNA is filed under the name Brassica napus (rape). RNAcentral's name for it is "long non-coding RNA (BNAP_LNC022302)". The record is from RNAcentral. Lineage: Eukaryota; Viridiplantae; Streptophyta; Magnoliopsida; Brassicales; Brassicaceae.